AUUGAACGCUGGCGGCAGGCUUAACACAUGCAAGUCGAGCGGUAACAGAGAGAAGCUUGCUUCUCUGCUGACGAGCGGCGGACGGGUGAGUAAUGCCUAGGAAUCUGCCUAGUAGUGAGGGAUAACUUGCCGAAAGGUAAGCUAAUACCGCAUACGUCCUACGGGAGAAAGGAGGGGACCUUCGGGCCUUUCGCUAUCAGAUGAGCCUAGGUCGGAUUAGUUAGUUGGUGAGGUAAUGGCUCACCAAGACCGCGAUCCGUAACUGGUCUGAGAGGAUGAUCAGUCACACUGGAACUGAGACACGGUCCAGACUCCUACGGGAGGCAGCAGUGGGGAAUAUUGGACAAUGGGGGGAACCCUGAUCCAGCCAUGCCGCGUGUGUGAAGAAGGUCUUAGGAUUGUAAAGCACUUUAAGUUGGGAGGAAGAGCAGUUAACUAAUAUUUGACUGUUUUGACGUUACCGACAGAAUAAGCACCGGCUAACUUCGUGCCAGCCGCCGCAGUAA
RNAcentral lists this ribosomal RNA (506 nucleotides) under uncultured bacterium. RNAcentral's name for it is "partial 16S ribosomal RNA". It matches the Rfam family "Bacterial small subunit ribosomal RNA", at positions 30 to 523 of the family's 1533-position model. The record is from RNAcentral.